CCUAGCUCUAACCCUAGCUCUAACCCUAGCCCCAGCUUUAACCCUAACACUAGCUCUAAACCUAACCCUAGCUCUAAACCGAACCCUAAGCUUUAGGGAGGUGUAUGGUGAUAUGGGGCAGUACACGAGCAACUGUGUUGCAAAUUUUCUAUAAUAAAAUAUCUAGGCCACACUGAGAUUCGAACACGGGUCGCUGGGGUGAGAGCCCAGAGCACUAACCACUACACUAUGGAAGCCUCGCGCACAUUGCUUGGAAUUAAUAUGGUUUUAUGGAUACACGAGCAACUGUGUUGCAAAUUUUCUAUAAUAAAAUAUCUAGGCCACACUGAGAUUCGAACCCGGGUCGCUGGGGUGAGAGCCCAGAGCACUAACCACUACACUAUGGAAGCCUCGCGCACAUUGCUUGGAAUUAAUAUGGUUUUAUGGAUACACGAGCAACUGUGUUGCAAAUUUUCUAUAAUAAAAUAUCUAGGCCACACUGAGAUUCGAACCCGGGUCGCUGGGGUGAGAGCCCAGAGCACUAACCACUACACUAUGGAAGCCUCGCGCACAUUGCUUGGAAUUAAUA
Syngnathus acus (greater pipefish) is the source of this 568-nucleotide long non-coding RNA. RefSeq lists it as uncharacterized. The transcript is spliced from 3 exons. NCBI's taxonomy places the organism in Eukaryota, Metazoa, Chordata, Actinopteri, Syngnathiformes, Syngnathidae. The record is from RefSeq and is a predicted model, not a curated record.